AGAGUUUGAUCAUGGCUCAGGACGAACGCUGGCGGCGUGCCUAAUACAUGCAAGUAGAACGCUGAAGAGAGGAGCUUGCUCUUCUUGGAUGAGUUGCGAACGGGUGAGUAACGCGUAGGUAACCUGCCUUGUAGCGGGGGAUAACUAUUGGAAACGAUAGCUAAUACCGCAUAACAAUGGAUGACCCAUGUCAUUUAUUUGAAAGGGGCAAAUGCUCCACUACAAGAUGGACCUGCGUUGUAUUAGCUAGUAGGUGAGGUAACGGCUCACCUAGGCGACGAUACAUAGCCGACCUGAGAGGGUGAUCGGCCACACUGGGACUGAGACACGGCCCAGACUCCUACGGGAGGCAGCAGUAGGGAAUCUUCGGCAAUGGGGGCAACCCUGACCGAGCAACGCCGCGUGAGUGAAGAAGGUUUUCGGAUCGUAAAGCUCUGUUGUAAGUCAAGAACGAGUGUGAGAGUGGAAAGUUCACACUGUGACGGUAGCUUACCAGAAAGGGACGGCUAACUACGUGCCAGCAGCCGCGGUAAUACGUAGGUCCCGAGCGUUGUCCGGAUUUAUUGGGCGUAAAGCGAGCGCAGGCGGUUUGAUAAGUCUGAAGUUAAAGGCUGUGGCUCAACCAUAGUUCGCUUUGGAAACUGUCAAACUUGAGUGCAGAAGGGGAGAGUGGAAUUCCAUGUGUAGCGGUGAAAUGCGUAGAUAUAUGGAGGAACACCGGUGGCGAAAGCGGCUCUCUGGUCUGUAACUGACGCUGAGGCUCGAAAGCGUGGGGAGCGAACAGGAUUAGAUACCCUGGUAGUCCACGCCGUAAACGAUGAGUGCUAGGUGUUGGAUCCUUUCCGGGAUUCAGUGCCGCAGCUAACGCAUUAAGCACUCCGCCUGGGGAGUACGACCGCAAGGUUGAAACUCAAAGGAAUUGACGGGGGCCCGCACAAGCGGUGGAGCAUGUGGUUUAAUUCGAAGCAACGCGAAGAACCUUACCAGGUCUUGACAUCCCGAUGCUAUUUCUAGAGAUAGAAAGUUACUUCGGUACAUCGGUGACAGGUGGUGCAUGGUUGUCGCCAGCUCGUGUUGUGAGAUGUUGGGUUAAGUCCCGCAACGAGCGCAACCCCUAUUGUUAGUUGCCAUCAUUCAGUUGGGCACUCUAGCGAGACUGCCGGUAAUAAACCGGAGGAAGGUGGGGAUGACGUCAAAUCAUCAUGCCCCUUAUGACCUGGGCUACACACGUGCUACAAUGGUUGGUACAACGAGUUGCGAGUCGGUGACGGCAAGCUAAUCUCUUAAAGCCAAUCUCAGUUCGGAUUGUAGGCUGCAACUCGCCUACAUGAAGUCGGAAUCGCUAGUAAUCGCGGAUCAGCACGCCGCGGUGAAUACGUUCCCGGGCCUUGUACACACCGCCCGUCACACCACGAGAGUUUGUAACACCCGAAGUCGGUGAGGUAACCUUUUGGAGCCAGCCGCCUAAGGUGGGAUAGAUGAUUGGGGUGAAGUCGUAACAAGGUA
This 1506-nucleotide ribosomal RNA is filed under the name metagenome. Its description in RNAcentral is "bacterial SSU rRNA". It matches the Rfam family "Bacterial small subunit ribosomal RNA". The record is from RNAcentral.